Molecule: ribosomal RNA, 382 nt
Filed under: uncultured bacterium
Lineage: Bacteria
Description: bacterial SSU rRNA
Rfam family: Bacterial small subunit ribosomal RNA
Source: RNAcentral
AUUGAACGCUGGCGGCAUGCCUUACACAUGCAAGUCGAGCGCGAAAGGGGGCAACCCCGAGUAGAGCGGCGGACGGGUGAGUAACGCAUCGGAACGUGCCCAGUAGUGGGGGACAACCUCGAGAAAUCGAGGCUAAUACCGCAUACGACCCACGGGUGAAAGCGGGGGACCGCAAGGCCUCGCGCUAUUGGAGCGGCCGAUGUCCGAUUAGCUAGUUGGCGGGGUAAGAGCCCACCAAGGCGACGAUCGGUAGCUGGUCUGAGAGGACGACCAGCCACACUGGGACUGAGACACGGCCCAGACUCCUACGGGAGGCAGCAGUGGGGAAUUUUGGACAAUGGGGGCAACCCCUGAUCCAGCCAUGCCGCGUGCGGGAAGAAGG